GAGAACAUUUAUAAAUGCGAGCACAGCAAUUACCUUAUCAGAAAACGUGAAAAGGCAUUAGUGAAUGUUCUUUUUUUUUAAAAACAAAGGUAAUCUUGUCAUGUCUGAUCAAUCUGUGAUAUAAAGUAGUUUGAUUUGUUCCGGAAUAUCUUAUUUACUGACUGAACGACUACUGCAGAUAAGACAGAUCUGCCCGUGUGUCACAUCUCGGUGACAUUGUUGACCGACGUGCAUUGUAUAUAGUCUGGACAACCAACAUCCGGGCUUUUCUGCACUCAUUCCUUUCCGAGCAUGCCCGGCGUUUAAUGAAACCUUUAGUGAACCUCUCUGAACGACAAGAGUCGAAAACUUUCGUGCCAAACUAUGAGUGCACGAACGUGCGCUUUUAUAAUCAGUUUUGUUUUGACAAGGUGGAAAGUGAAAAUAUAGAUAAACGCAUUGCAUGUAAAGAGCUAUCACUAAAACUUUACAUUGCUAUUCUUCUUAAAUUCUCCAUAUUUUUUCACAUUUAAAAUUACAUACUCC
RNAcentral lists this long non-coding RNA (525 nucleotides) under Androctonus crassicauda. The record is from RNAcentral. Lineage: Eukaryota; Metazoa; Arthropoda; Arachnida; Scorpiones; Buthidae.